Molecule: ribosomal RNA, 298 nt
Filed under: uncultured Sphingomonadaceae bacterium
Lineage: Bacteria; Pseudomonadati; Pseudomonadota; Alphaproteobacteria; Sphingomonadales; Sphingomonadaceae
Description: partial 16S ribosomal RNA
Rfam family: Bacterial small subunit ribosomal RNA
Source: RNAcentral
UAACGCGUGGGAAUCUGCCCAGAGGUAGGGAAUAACCGUGGGAAACUGCGGCUAAUACCCUAUGUGUCCUAAGGGGCAAAGAUUUAUCGCCUUUGGAGGGGCCCGCGUCGGAUUAGGUAGUUGGUAGGGUAACGGCCUACCAAGCCUACGAUCCGUAGGUGGUCUGAGAGGAUGAUCAGCCACACUGGGACUGAGAUACGGCCCAGACUCCUACGGGAGGCAGCAGUGGGGAAUAUUGGACAAUGGGGGCAACCCUGAUCCAGCAAUGCCGCGUGAGUGAUGAAGGCCUUAGGGUUGU